UUACUAUCACAUUCUGACAUUGCAGGUGGUUCUUAAAGACAGCAAGCCUGUGCAGCUGAUUCACCAUAAAUGUUCUUGCAUUGCUGGAGCUGCGCUGUGCAACCACUGUGUUGCUCUUUUGUACCAGUCAGCCCACUACUCGCAGCUGAAGGUGCCUGUAGUCCCCCCUGUGCUAAGCUGUACUGAGGGAGAACAGUAGUGGUACAAACCUAGGACUCUGGGUAUAAAAACCGGCCCAGUGGACAAAAUGGCUGUGCUGUCUGCUAAACCGAAGAGCCGUCCUAAAGCAACAACAGAGGAUAUAAGGAGCACGCUCUACAAAGGCCUCAGUGGGGAUCUACCUGAUCUUUCUGUCCUUCGGGUGACUGAGACAUAUGCCGACUUCUCCAGAGCGGAGUCGCCAAUGGUGUGUAGCAUGAACAUCAGCUGAGGUUCCAUUGGUCAACUCUGCCCUUGGGAUGGUGCAAGCCGGAAGCCCGAUUGCCUACCAACAGCCAGCAGGAGCACAUAGAGAUCUAUCCUUCCAGCCUCAGAGCCGGGUUCCAGAGACUGAAAGACAGAGAGCUCACACUCAAUAGAAUGUGAGUUCAACAAAGCUAAACUCAAAUUCUUUGGUUUCAUUUUCUCAGCUGGUGGAAUCUCAGCUGAACCUAAAAAAGUUGCCACCAUUCAGCAGGCCGGUGAUCUACAAGCCUCGACUGAAGUCAGGAAAUUGCUUGGCAUAGCGAACUGCUGUACUAAAGACACACUGUGCCGAACUACAGACACACCGUGCCACUGGAGCCCUGAGCACGAUAGAGCACUACAGACGAUCAAAGUCAGCCUGACUAGCAAACCCCUGGGGCUGGAUGCACAGAAAAAAAAUCUUAAAGUAAAUCCUAAGUAGAUUUCUAAGAAAAAUUGAAGUCCUUAAGAAUCGUCUUAAAUGCUCUUCACCAAUAUUUUCUUAGGAACUAUUGUAUUUCUUAGGCAGCAGCAGUCAGGGCCAUUGAUAAGGUGCUGUCCACUCUCUCUUGGGUCCAUAUGGUCCAGUUCUCAGACUCUUUUUUUUUUUUUUUUCUUCUUUUUUUUUACUUAAGCAUUUUAAUGGUAAAAACAAAAGGCAAGAAAAGAAUAAUCACAAGUAAAAUUAAAUAGACAACGACCGUGAUGGGUGAGC
Alosa sapidissima (American shad) is the source of this 1159-nucleotide long non-coding RNA. RefSeq lists it as uncharacterized. The transcript has 4 exons. The record is from RefSeq and is a predicted model, not a curated record. Lineage: Eukaryota; Metazoa; Chordata; Actinopteri; Clupeiformes; Clupeidae.